AGGACUUGGCAGCUCCAGCACAGAGACCUCUAACUACAAUCAAAUUUCCCUUCAAUUUGGACUGAUGAGUGAGUGCUGUUUAUGUUAGGCAGGCUUCAUUGAGGAGGUCAGCCCAUGAGAGCAGGCUCUUCAGAUAUGUGCUCUUCUGAAGGCAGUCCAGCAAAAUCAAUCAAUAAGCAACCACUGUUUUCCUGACCACUGUACCGCAUGGCUGCAAAAAUGCAAGAGAGUCAUUAUUUUAGAAUAUCAGACACCAAACAGUUGUUUUGUUUCCUAGUUUAUAGCCACCUAAUCCACUGGGAGGAAGAAAGUUGGGUUUUGAUGUAAGUUUCUUUUUGCAACCUGGGGCUACUCACCAUAACAGAAUCAUUCAUGCUUCUGAUCUGGAAGACAUCCAUGGAGACCUCUGUGCGGUUGGAGACCUCAUGGCUGCCUGUGUGAUU
This is a long non-coding RNA of Nothoprocta perdicaria, 443 nucleotides long. RefSeq lists it as uncharacterized. The transcript has 2 exons. NCBI's taxonomy places the organism in Eukaryota, Metazoa, Chordata, Aves, Tinamiformes, Tinamidae. The record is from RefSeq and is a predicted model, not a curated record.